CCAAUCGAACCCGGAGAUAGCUGGUUCUCCUCGAAAUAGCUUUAGGGCUAGCCUCAUGGAUCAUUGGUGGGGGUAGAGCACUGAAUGUGCGCGGGGGCCACAAAGCCUACCAAACGCUAUCAAACUUCGAAUACCAUACAAUGCAGACCAUGGGAGUCAGUCCGCGAGAGAUAAGUUCCGCGGGCAAAAGGGGAACACCCCAGAUCAACCGCUAAGGUCCCCAAGUUCACGUUAAGUGGAGAAGGAUGUGGAAUUGCACAGACAACCAGGAUGUUGGCUCAGAAGCAGCCACACAUUUAAAGAGUGCGUAAUAGCUCACUGGUCGAGUGAUUGUGCGCCGAAGAUGUCCGGGGCUAAACGUGACACCGAAGCGAUGGGUGCGUCUGAAGAAGAUGCGCGGUAGAGGAGCAAUGUGCAGAGGCAGAAGCCGUAUCGAGAGGCACGGUGGACACUGCACAAGAGAGAAUGCCGGUAUGAGUAGCGAGAGGCAUGCGAGAAACAUGCCCGUCGAAAGCCCAAGGUUUCCUGGGGAAGGUUCAUCCGCCCAGGGUAAGUCGGGGCCUAAGCCGAGGACGGAAGUCGUAGGCGAUGGACAGCAGGUGUAGAUUCCUGCACUACCGAUGGAAUGAAGCAGUGACACAGAAGGAUAACUCGAGCAGGGUGAUGGUCAACCCUGUGCAAGCAUCAAGGUUGGGUUGUAGUGAAGUACGCAACCCUAUAAGCUGAGAUGUGAUGCGGACCGAAAUUUCAGUAGGGAAGCGAGUGAGUUCACGCUGGCGAGAAAAGCUGCUAGUACAUCCAAAGGUACCCGUACCGGAAACCGACGCAGGUGGGCGAGGAGAGAAUCCUGAGACGAACGGGAGAACCCUUGUUAAGGAACUCGGCAAAAUGACCCCGUAACUUCGGGAUAAGGGGUGCCUGCGAGAGCAGGCCGCAGAGAAUAGUCACAAGCGACUGUUUAGCAAAAACACAGGUAUCUGCGAAAGCGAGAGCUGACGUAUAGGUGCUGACACCUGCCCGGUGCUGGAAGGUUAAGGGAACAUGUUAGAGCAAUCGAAGCAUCGAACCGAAGCCCCAGUAAACGGCGGCCGUAACUAUAACGGUCCUAAGGUAGCGAAAUUCCUUGUCGGGUAAGUUCCGACCCGCACGAAUGGUGUAACGACUUGUGAGCUGUCUCAACAGGGGGCCCGGUGAAAUUGAAGUAUGGGUGAAGAUGCCCAUUACCCGCGACUGGACGGAAAGACCCCGUAGAGCUUUACUGCAGCCUGAUAUUGAGUUUCGGUAACUGAUGCACAGGAUAGGUGGGAGUCUGAGAGACAUGGGUUUCGGCUCAUGAGGAGACGAUGUUGGGAUACCACUCUUCGGUUACUGAAAUUCUAACAUAGCUCUGUGAAACCAGAGGAUGGACAGUGUCAGGUGGACAGUUUGACUGGGGCGGUCGCCUCCGAAAGAGUAACGGAGGCGCCCAAAGGUACCCUCAGAAUGGAUGGAAACCAUUCGAAGAGCGCAAAGGCAGAAGGGUGCCUGACUGCGAGAGUGACAACUCGAGCAGAGACGAAAGUCGGGCUUAGUGAUCCGGCGGUAUUGAGUGGAAAAGCCGUCGCUUAACGGAUAAAAGCUACCUCGGGGAUAACAGGCUGAUCUCCCCCAAGAGUCCACAUCGACGGGGAGGUUUGGCACCUCGAUGUCGGCUCAUCGCAUCCUGGGGCUGUAUUCGGUCCCAAGGGUUUGGCUGUUCGCCAAUUAAAGCGGCACGCGAGCUGGGUUCAGAACGUCGUGAGACAGUUCGGUCCCUAUCCAUCGUGGGCGUAGGAGUCAUGAGAGGAGCUGUUCCUAGUACGAGAGGACCGGAAUGGACGCACCACUGGUGCAACUGUUGUCGUGCCAACGGCAUAGCAGGGAAGCGAAGUGCGGAUGGGAUAAACGCUGAAGGCAUCUAAGCGUGAAGCCCACCUCAAGAAUAAGACUCCACAAUAGACCCCUGGAGGACUACCAGGUAGAUAGGUCAUCGGUGGAAGCGCUGUAAGGCGUGUAGCUUGAUGAUACUAAUCGGUCGAAAGCUUCAUUUA
This 2069-nucleotide ribosomal RNA is filed under the name human gut metagenome. RNAcentral describes it as "bacterial LSU rRNA". It matches the Rfam family "Bacterial large subunit ribosomal RNA", at positions 829 to 2925 of the family's 2925-position model. The record is from RNAcentral.